RNAcentral lists this ribosomal RNA (460 nucleotides) under uncultured bacterium. RNAcentral describes it as "partial 16S ribosomal RNA". It matches the Rfam family "Bacterial small subunit ribosomal RNA", at positions 338 to 795 of the family's 1533-position model. The record is from RNAcentral.
CCUACGGGUGGCAGCAGUGAGGAAUAUUGGUCAAUGGGCGCGAGCCUGAACCAGCCAAGUCGCGUGAGGGAAGACGGCCCUACGGGUUGUAAACCUCUUUUGCCGGGGAGCAACGGGCGCCACGUGUGGCGCCACUGAGAGUACCCGGAGAAAAAGCAUCGGCUAACCCCGUGCCAGCAGCCGCGGUAUUACGGAGGAUGCGAGCGUUAUCCGGAUUUAUUGGGUUAAAAGGGUGCGAGGGCGGUGCGUUAAGUCAGUGGUAAAAGUGAGGGGUUCAACCCCUUCCCGCCAUUGAAACUGGCGAUCUUGAGUGGAAGAGAAGUAUGCGGAAUGCGGGGUGUAGCGGUGAAAUGCAUAGAUAUCACGCAGAACCCCGAUUGCGAAGGCAGCAUGCCGGCUUCCUACUGACGCUGAAGCACGAAAGCGUGGGGAUCGAACAGGAUUAGAUACCCUUGUAGUC